RNAcentral lists this ribosomal RNA (1962 nucleotides) under human gut metagenome. RNAcentral describes it as "bacterial LSU rRNA". It matches the Rfam family "Bacterial large subunit ribosomal RNA", at positions 3 to 1988 of the family's 2925-position model. The record is from RNAcentral.
UCAAGCUAAUAAGAGCACAGGGUGGAUGCCCAGGCACCAAACGCCGACGAAAGACGUGGCAAGCUGCGAAAAGUCACGGGGAACCGCAAGCAGGUAUUGAUCCGUGAACGUCUGAAUGGGGAAACCCGGCGGGUUAACAGCCCGUCACUAUUAACUGAAUCAAUAGGUUAAUAGGGGGAACGCGGGGAACUGAAACAUCUCAGUACCCGUAGGAAGAGAAAAUAAAGAAUGAUUUCCUAAGUAGCGGCGAGCGAACGGGAAAGAGGCCAAACCGAAGGGCUUGCUCUUCGGGGUUGUGGAUCAGCAAAAAGGACGAGAGACCUUAGCAGAAGAGGAUUGGAAAGUCCCGCCAGAGAGGGUAAAAGCCCCUUAUGCGAAAAGGUCAAACGACGAGCUGACACCAGAGUACCGCAGGACACGAGAAAUCCGGUGGGAAGCCGGGAGGACCACCUCCCAAGCCUAAAUACGAAUUGGUGACCGAUAGCGCAUAGUACCGUGAGGGAAAGGUGAAAAGAACCCCGGGAGGGGAGUGAAAAAGAACCUGAAACCCUGUGUUUACAAGCAGUGAAAGUGCGAGCAAGGCACGAUCACGUACUUUUUGUAGAACGGACCGGCGAGUUACGUUAUGCAGCAAGGUUAAGAACUGAAGGUUCGGAGCCGAAGCGAAAGCGAGUCUGAAUAGGGCGAAAGUUGCAUGACGUAGACCCGAAACCGGGUGACCUAUCCAUGAGCAGGUUGAAGUGGAGGUAAAGCUCCAUGGAGGACCGAACCAGACGUCUGUUGAAAAAGGCGGGGAUGACUUGUGGAUAGGGGAGAAAUUCCAAUCGAACCCGGAGAUAGCUGGUUCUCCUCGAAAUAGCUUUAGGGCUAGCCUCAUGGAUCAUUGAUGGGGGUAGAGCACUGAAUGUGCGCGGGGGCCACAAAGCCUACCAAACGCUAUCAAACUUCGAAUACCAUACAAUGCAGACCAUGGGAGUCAGUCCGCGAGAGAUAAGUUCCGCGGGCAAAAGGGGAACACCCCAGAUCAACCGCUAAGGUCCCCAAGUUCACGUUAAGUGGAGAAGGAUGUGGAAUUGCACAGACAACCAGGAUGUUGGCUCAGAAGCAGCCACACAUUUAAAGAGUGCGUAAUAGCUCACUGGUCGAGUGAUUGUGCGCCGAAGAUGUCCGGGGCUAAACGUGACACCGAAGCGAUGGGUGCAUCUGAAAGGAUGCGCGGUAGAGGAGCAAUGUGCAGAGGCAGAAGCCGUAUCGAGAGGCACGGUGGACACUGCACAAGAGAGAAUGCCGGUAUGAGUAGCGAGAGGCAUGCGAGAAACAUGCCCGUCGAAAGCCCAAGGUUUCCUGGGGAAGGUUCAUCCGCCCAGGGUAAGUCGGGGCCUAAGCCGAGGACGGAAGUCGUAGGCGAUGGACAGCAGGUGUAGAUUCCUGCACUACCGAUGGAAUGAAGCAGUGACACAGAAGGAUAACUCGAGCAGGGUGAUGGUCAACCCUGUGCAAGCAUCAAGGUUGGGUUGUAGUGAAGUACGCAACCCUAUAAGCUGAGGUGUGAUGCGGACCGAAAUUUCAGUAGGGAAGCGAGUGAGUUCACGCUGGCGAGAAAAGCUGCUAGUAUAUCCAAAGGUACCCGUACCGGAAACCGACGCAGGUGGGCGAGGAGAGAAUCCUGAGACGAACGGGAGAACCCUUGUUAAGGAACUCGGCAAAAUGACCCCGUAACUUCGGGAUAAGGGGUGCCUGCGAGAGCAGGCCGCAGAGAAUAGUCACAAGCGACUGUUUAGCAAAAACACAGGUAUCUGCGAAAGCGAGAGCUGACGUAUAGGUGCUGACACCUGCCCGGUGCUGGAAGGUUAAGGGAACAUGUUAGAGCAAUCGAAGCAUCGAACCGAAGCCCCAGUAAACGGCGGCCGUAACUAUAACGGUCCUAAGGUAGCGAAAUUCCUUGUCGGGUAAGUUCCGACC